Molecule: long non-coding RNA, 340 nt
Organism: Choloepus didactylus (southern two-toed sloth)
Lineage: Eukaryota; Metazoa; Chordata; Mammalia; Pilosa; Megalonychidae
Exons: 3
Source: RefSeq, a predicted model, not a curated record
AGGGAACAACAGCCAGAGCAGAUUAACAGAAACAAAGAAAGAUCUGGUUUUUACGUUGAUGGCUUCAAUUAAGAAGAACAAAAGAAGAGAAAUAGAAGGGAAAUGUGUAUUCCUGUAUUAUUGUGCAAUGGGAACAGCCAUUUCCAUCAGACUGUGGUUCUGUGGACACCAGUGAAAGGCUUUGCAGUCAACAAGGUCUAUUUUAUGUGAUGAAACAUGUCAAGAGAUUCAGAAUUAACCUGUCUAUAAGGAAAGUGCUAAAGAAGCCAAGACACAGGUCCAGGAAGCUUGUCCUUGUGCCUUCUUCUUGGACAGACCUGAGCUUUCCAAAAGCAACCCC